GGGCCAUUAGCUCAACUAGGCAGAGCAUCCGACUCUUAAUCGGCAGGUUGAAGGUUCGAUUCCUUCAUGGCCCA
RNAcentral lists this transfer RNA (74 nucleotides) under bacterium. RNAcentral's name for it is "tRNA-Lys". It matches the Rfam family "tRNA". Rfam says of the family: Transfer RNA (tRNA) molecules are approximately 80 nucleotides in length. Their secondary structure includes four short double-helical elements and three loops (D, anti-codon, and T loops). The record is from RNAcentral. RNAcentral also lists the same sequence under 1 other name.